CAAAAAUUGAAAAAGAUGCAGAGCAUGUACAAAAUAAUAUUAUUAUUGUAAUAUCACCUAGUAGUAUUUGAGAUAUACCGUGGUGUACAUUAUUUUGUACAUGCUCUGCAUCUUUUUCAAUUUUUG
This is a non-coding RNA of Pelobates cultripes (western spadefoot toad), 126 nucleotides long. The record is from the annotation of a GenBank genome assembly. NCBI's taxonomy places the organism in Eukaryota, Metazoa, Chordata, Amphibia, Anura, Pelobatidae.